RNAcentral lists this ribosomal RNA (746 nucleotides) under Leuconostoc mesenteroides. RNAcentral describes it as "bacterial SSU rRNA". It matches the Rfam family "Bacterial small subunit ribosomal RNA", at positions 19 to 745 of the family's 1533-position model. Lineage: Bacteria; Bacillati; Bacillota; Bacilli; Lactobacillales; Lactobacillaceae. The record is from RNAcentral.
UCUGCUCAGGAUGAACGCUGGCGGCGUGCCUAAUACAUGCAAGUCGAACGCACAGCGAAAGGUGCUUGCACCUUUCAAGUGAGUGGCGAACGGGUGAGUAACACGUGGACAACCUGCCUCAAGGCUGGGGAUAACAUUUGGAAACAGAUGCUAAUACCGAAUAAAACUUAGUGUCGCAUGACAUAAAGUUAAAAGGCGCUUCGGCGUCACCUAGAGAUGGAUCCGCGGUGCAUUAGUUAGUUGGUGGGGUAAAGGCCUACCAAGACAAUGAUGCAUAGCCGAGUUGAGAGACUGAUCGGCCACAUUGGGACUGAGACACGGCCCAAACUCCUACGGGAGGCUGCAGUAGGGAAUCUUCCACAAUGGGCGAAAGCCUGAUGGAGCAACGCCGCGUGUGUGAUGAAGGCUUUCGGGUCGUAAAGCACUGUUGUAUGGGAAGAACAGCUAGAAUAGGAAAUGAUUUUAGUUUGACGGUACCAUACCAGAAAGGGACGGCUAAAUACGUGCCAGCAGCCGCGGUAAUACGUAUGUCCCGAGCGUUAUCCGGAUUUAUUGGGCGUAAAGCGAGCGCAGACGGUUUAUUAAGUCUGAUGUGAAAGCCCGGAGCUCAACUCCGGAAUGGCAUUGGAAACUGGUUAACUUGAGUGCAGUAGAGGUAAGUGGAACUCCCAUGUGUAGCGGUGGAAUGCGUAGAUAUAUGGAAGAACACCAGUGGCGAAGGCGGCUUAUCUGGACUGCAACUGACG